UGAGCUGUGGCUCAGUGGUAGAGCGCUCACCUAGCAUGUGCAAGGUGCUGGGUUCGAUCCUCAGCACCACAU
This 72-nucleotide transfer RNA is filed under the name Marmota monax (woodchuck). It matches the Rfam family "tRNA". From Rfam's summary of the family: Transfer RNA (tRNA) molecules are approximately 80 nucleotides in length. Their secondary structure includes four short double-helical elements and three loops (D, anti-codon, and T loops). Further hydrogen bonds mediate the characteristic L-shaped molecular structure. tRNAs have two regions of fundamental functional importance: the anti-codon, which is responsible for specific mRNA codon recognition, and the 3' end, to which the tRNAs corresponding amino acid is attached (by aminoacyl-tRNA synthetases). tRNAs cope with the degeneracy of the genetic code in two manners: having more than one tRNA (with a specific anti-codon) for a particular amino acid; and 'wobble' base-pairing, i.e. permitting non-standard base-pairing at the 3rd anti-codon position. Lineage: Eukaryota; Metazoa; Chordata; Mammalia; Rodentia; Sciuridae. The record is from Rfam by way of RNAcentral.